GUAGGUGAACCUGCGGAAGGAUCAUUACAAUAAAGGCGCCUUCGGGUGCCGCCUGUCUAACAGGAACCCUUGUAUUUCGUACCAUUCGUUGCCUCGGCGGGCUUGCCCGCCAGCAGAGGCCCCCUUCAAACUCUUUGCAAUUGCAGUAACAGUCUGAAAACAAAAACAAUCAAUUAAAACUUUCAACAACGGAUCUCUUGGUUCUG
Molecule: unclassified non-coding RNA, 206 nt
Filed under: rhizosphere metagenome
Description: partial ribosomal RNA internal transcribed spacer region
Source: RNAcentral